RNAcentral lists this ribosomal RNA (1486 nucleotides) under uncultured Bordetella sp. RNAcentral's name for it is "partial 16S-23S ribosomal RNA intergenic spacer". It matches the Rfam family "Bacterial small subunit ribosomal RNA". The record is from RNAcentral. Lineage: Bacteria; Pseudomonadati; Pseudomonadota; Betaproteobacteria; Burkholderiales; Alcaligenaceae.
GUUUGAUCAUAGCUCAGAUUGAACGCUGGCGGGAUGCUUUACAUGCAAGUCGAACGGCAGCACGGACUUCGGUCUGGUGGCGAGUGGCGAACGGGUGAGUAAUGUAUCGGAACGUGCCUAGUAGCGGGGGAUAACUACGCGAAAGCGUAUGUCGCGCACUUAAUACGCCCUUCGGGGAAAGCGGGGGACCUUCGGGCCUCGCACUAUUAAGCGGCCGAUAUCGGAUUAGCUAGUUGGUGGGGUAACGGCUCGCAAGGCGACGAUCCGUAGCUGGUUUUGAAGGACGACCAGCCACACUGGGACGGAACCACAGCCCAGACUCCUACAGGGAGGCAGCAGUGGGGAAUUUUUGGACAAUGGGGAAACCCUGAUCCAACCAUCCCGCGUGUGCGAUGAAGGCCUUCGGGUUGUAAAGCACUUUUGGCAGGAAAGAAACAGCGCAGGAUAUGCCCGUGCAACUGACGGCCUGCAAGGCCAAAGCAGUAACUGGUGCCCGCAAACAGCCGCGGUAAUACGUAAGGUACAAGCGUUAAUCUGAAUUACUGGGCGUAAAGCGUGCGCGAGCGGUUCGGGAAAGAAGAUGUGAAAUCUUCAAAGAACUUAACUUUGGAACUGCAUUUUUAACCGCUACCGAGCUAGAGUGUAUUAUUAAGAGGGAGGUGGGAUUCCGCGUGUAGCAGUGAAAUGCGUAGAUAUGGAAGGGCACCGAUGGCGAGGCAGCCUCCUGGGAUAACACUGACGCUCAUGCACGAAAGCGUGGGGGAGCAAGCAGGAUUAGAUACCCCUGGUAGUCCCACGCCCUAAACAGUGUCAAUAGCUAUUGGGGCCUUCGGGCCUUGGUAGCGCAGCUAACGCGUGGGAUUGACCGCCUGGGAGGAAGUACGGUCGCAAGAUUAAAACUCAAAGAAAGAUUAUUGGGGACCCGCACAAGCGGUGGAUGAUGUGGAUAAUUCGAUGCAACGCGAAAAACCUUACCUACCCUUGACAUGUCUGGAAUCCCGAAGAGAUUUGGGAGUGCUCGCAAGAGAACCGGAACACAGGUGCUGCAUGGCUGUCGUCGAAACUGUCGUGAGAUGUUGGGUUCGCCGUCCCGCAACGGGCGCAGCCUUAUGCCAUUAGUUGCUACGAAGGGGCACUCUAAUGGGAUUGCCGGUGACAAACCGGAGGAAGGUGGGGAUGACGUCAGGUCCUCAUGGCCCUUAUGGUGGGGCUUCACGUCAUACAAUGGUCGGGACGGGGUCCCCGCCCGGCCACGCGGGGGGAACCAAUCCGAGGCGAUCGUAGUCCGGAUCGCAGUCUGCAACUCGACUGCAUUGAUCGGAAUCGCUAAUCAAUCGCGGACAUGUCGCGGUGAAUACGUUCCCGGGUCUUGUACACACCGCCCGUCACACCAUGGGAGUGGGAUUUACCAGAAGUAGUUAGCUAUGCCAUCGGGAGGGCGAUUACCACGGUAGGAUUCAUGACUGGGGCGUCGUAACAAGGUAAG